RNAcentral lists this unclassified non-coding RNA (263 nucleotides) under plant metagenome. Its description in RNAcentral is "partial contains small subunit ribosomal RNA, internal transcribed spacer 1, and 5.8S ribosomal RNA". The record is from RNAcentral.
UAUCCGUAGGUGAACCUGCGGAAGGAUCAUUAUUAUAUAACCGAGGUGCGAGGGCUGUCGCUGACCCGAAAGGUCGUGCACGCCCGAGUGCCCUCACACACAUCCAUCUUACCCCUAUGUGCACCACCGCGUGGGUCCCCCUUUGGCUUGUUCGGAGGGGGGCUUACGUUUUCACACAAACUUUGUAUGCAGUGUAGAAUGUAUUUUUUGUUUUUGCGAUCACGCAAUCAAUACAACUUUCAACAACGGAUCUCUUGGCUCUC